CUGCUGAUAGUCAUCCUCCUCUCCUUCAUGACAGGUUGUUUGAGCUCCUUCAAAGUGACAGGAUACUCUGGAGGAACUGUCAUCAUCUACUGUCAUUAUUACACAGAAGAAAGAAGUCAUGAGAAAUAUUUCUGCGUGGGACAGUAUAGCUGGAGAUGUAAGGAUAUAAUCAGAACUGGAUUGAAGAACACCUGGGUACACAGAGGUAGAUUCUCUCUGUAUGACAACACUGGAGGAAACUACUUCAAGGUGAUCAUCAGACAACUGACCAGACAAGAUGAAGGGACCUACUGGUGUGGAGUGGACAAACCUACUAUACCUGACAGUUAUACCAAGGUAGAGCUGGAUGUGAAGAAGGAUGACUGCUGUGAGAAGUCAGUCACAGAGACGGCCUAUCUGGGAGGAGAAGCUACCAUCAGAUGUAACUUUCCAGAGGACCAUGAGGACAGAACCAAGUAUUUCUGCAAGGAAGACGGUGAAUCUGACUGUGAAUACCAGAUAUCAGGGACAUAUUACUCAAAA
This 522-nucleotide long non-coding RNA is filed under the name Salmo salar (Atlantic salmon). RNAcentral's name for it is "lncRNA (ENSSSAG00000009682.2)". Lineage: Eukaryota; Metazoa; Chordata; Actinopteri; Salmoniformes; Salmonidae. The record is from RNAcentral.